CUACGGAGGGGGUUAGCGUUGUUCGGAAUUACUGGGCGUAAAGCGCACGUAGGCGGAUUGGAAAGUAGGGGGUGAAAUCCCAGGGCUCAACCCUGGAACUGCCUCCUAAACUAUCAGUCUAGAGUUCGAGAGAGGUGAGUGGAAUUCCAAGUGUAGAGGUGAAAUUCGUAGAUAUUUGGAGGAACACCAGUGGCGAAGGCGGCUCACUGGCUCGAUACUGACGCUGAGGUGCGAAAGCAUGGGGAGCAAACAGGAUUAGAAACCCUUGUAGUCC
This 274-nucleotide ribosomal RNA is filed under the name uncultured bacterium. Its description in RNAcentral is "partial 16S ribosomal RNA". It matches the Rfam family "Bacterial small subunit ribosomal RNA", at positions 523 to 796 of the family's 1533-position model. The record is from RNAcentral.